This 899-nucleotide ribosomal RNA is filed under the name uncultured bacterium. RNAcentral's name for it is "bacterial SSU rRNA". It matches the Rfam family "Bacterial small subunit ribosomal RNA", at positions 8 to 916 of the family's 1533-position model. The record is from RNAcentral.
AGAGUUUGAUCCUGGCUCAGGACGAACGCUGGCGGCGUGCUUAACACAUGCAAGUCGAACGGAAAGGCCCUGCUUACAGGGUGCUCGAGUGGCGAACGGGUGAGUAACACGUGGGUGAUCUGCCCCUUACUUUGGGAUAAGCCUGGGAAACUGGGUCUAAUACUGGAUAGGACCAUGCUGUAGGUGGUGUGGUGGAAAGAUUAGUUUCGGUAAGGGAUGAGCUCGCGGCCUAUCAGCUUGUUGGUGGGGUAAUGGCCUACCAAGGCGUCGACGGGUAGCCGGCCUGAGAGGGUGGACGGCCACAUUGGGACUGAGAUACGGCCCAGACUCCUACGGGAGGCAGCAGUGGGGAAUAUUGCACAAUGGGCGCAAGCCUGAUGCAGCGACGCCGCGUGGGGGAUGACGGCCUUCGGGUUGUAAACUCCUUUCAGCCAUGACGAAGCCUUCGGGUGACGGUAGUGGUAGAAGAAGCACCGGCUAACUACGUGCCAGCAGCCGCGGUAAUACGUAGGGUGCGAGCGUUGUCCGGAAUUACUGGGCGUAAAGAGCUCGUAGGUGGUCUGUCGCGUCAUUUGUGAAAGCCCGGGGCUUAACUCCGGGUUGGCAGGUGAUACGGGCAUGACUGGAGUACUGUAGGGGAGACUGGAAUUCCUGGUGUAGCGGUGAAAUGCGCAGAUAUCAGGAGGAACACCGGUGGCGAGGGCGGGUCUCUGGGCAGUAACUGACGCUGAGGAGCGAAAGCAUGGGUAGCGAACAGGAUUAGAUACCCUGGUAGUCCAUGCCGUAAACGGUGGGCGCUAGGUGUGGGUUUCCUUCCACGGGAUCCGUGCUGUAGCUAACGCAUUAAGCGCCCCGCCUGGGGAGUACGGCCGCAGGCUAAAACUCAAAGGAAUUGACGG